UUUUAAAUUAUAGCUCCUUAUACUUACCUGGCAGGGGAGAUACCAUGAUCACGAAGGUGGUUUUCCCAGGGCGAGGCUUAUCCAUUGCACUCCGGAUGUGCUGACCCCUGCGAUUUCCCCAAAUGUGGGAAACUUGACUGCAUAAUUUGUGGUAGUGGGGGACUGCGUUCGCGCUUUCCCCUGGUUUGUUUGUUGAGAAUAGAUAAAAUUUA
RNAcentral lists this long non-coding RNA (212 nucleotides) under Marmota monax (woodchuck). The stretch from base 20 to 183 matches the Rfam family "U1 spliceosomal RNA". Rfam says of the family: U1 is a small nuclear RNA (snRNA) component of the spliceosome (involved in pre-mRNA splicing). Its 5' end forms complementary base pairs with the 5' splice junction, thus defining the 5' donor site of an intron. The record is from RNAcentral. Lineage: Eukaryota; Metazoa; Chordata; Mammalia; Rodentia; Sciuridae.